Long non-coding RNA from Talpa occidentalis (Iberian mole), 241 nucleotides. RefSeq lists it as uncharacterized. The transcript is spliced from 3 exons. The record is from RefSeq and is a predicted model, not a curated record. NCBI's taxonomy places the organism in Eukaryota, Metazoa, Chordata, Mammalia, Eulipotyphla, Talpidae.
UCAAACAAGACCCAUGACCCUUGACACCAAAUUAUUAUACAUGAUUAAAAUGAUCUGAUCCACAAGCUCGUGCUAAAGGUGCUGGGAACAGAGCAGACAAAAUACAAUCUCUCUCCUUAUGGAACUUUACAGUCCAGUGAAGGAAGCAAGGAGGAUACCAAUGAAAAGGAGCUGGAGAUCAGAAAAGUUGGGGAAAUUUUUUACACAAUCUCUCUUAUGGAAAAAAGGAAUAUCUUUGGAA